RNAcentral lists this ribosomal RNA (506 nucleotides) under uncultured bacterium. Its description in RNAcentral is "partial 16S ribosomal RNA". It matches the Rfam family "Bacterial small subunit ribosomal RNA", at positions 29 to 523 of the family's 1533-position model. The record is from RNAcentral.
AGUGAACGCUGGCGGUAGGCCUAACACAUGCAAGUCGAACGGCAGCACAGGAGAGCUUGCUCUCUGGGUGGCGAGUGGCUGACGGGUGAGGAAUACAUCGGAAUCUACUCUGUCGUGGGGGAUAACGUAGGGAAACUUACGCUAAUACCGCAUACGACCUACGGGUGAAAGCAGGGGACCUUCGGGCCUUGCGCGAUUGAAUGAGCCGAUGUCGGAUUAGCUAGUUGGCGGGGUAAAGGCCCACCAAGGCGACGAUCCGUAGCUGGUCUGAGAGGAUGAUCAGCCACACUGGAACUGAGACACGGUCCAGACCCCUACGGGAGGCAGCAGUGGGGAAUAUUGGACAAUGGGCGCAAGCCUGAUCCAGCCAUACCGCGUGGGUGAAGAAGGCCUUCGGGUUGUAAAGCCCUUUUGUUGGGAAAGAAAUCCAGCUGGCUAAUACCCGGUUGGGAUGACGGUACCCAAAGAAUAAGCACCGGCUAACUUCGUGCCAGCCGCCGCGGUAA